This 460-nucleotide ribosomal RNA is filed under the name uncultured bacterium. RNAcentral's name for it is "partial 16S ribosomal RNA". It matches the Rfam family "Bacterial small subunit ribosomal RNA", at positions 338 to 795 of the family's 1533-position model. The record is from RNAcentral.
CCUACGGGUGGCAGCAGUGAGGAAUAUUGGUCAAUGGGCGUAAGCCUGAACCAGCCAAGUCGCGUGAGGGAUGAAGGUUCUAUGGAUCGUAAACCUCUUUUAUAAGGGAAUAAAGUGUGGGACGUGUCCUAUUUUGUAUGUACCUUAUGAAUAAGGCUCGGCUAACUCCGUGCCAGCAGCCGCGGUAAUACGGCGGAUCCGAGCGUUAUCCGGAUUUAUUGGGUUUAAAGGGUGCGUAGGCGGCCUUUUAAGUCAGCGGUGAAAGUCUGUGGCUCAACCAACGAAUUGCCGUUGAAACUGGGGGGCUUGAGUAUGUGUGAGGCAGGCGGAAUGCGUGGUGUAGCGGUGAAAUGCUUAGAUAUCACGCAGAACCCCGAUUGCGAAGGCAGCCUGCCAAGCCAUGACUGACGCUGAUGCACGAAAGCGUGGGGAUCAAACAGGAUUAGAUACCCCUGUAGUC